This 867-nucleotide ribosomal RNA is filed under the name uncultured bacterium. Its description in RNAcentral is "bacterial SSU rRNA". It matches the Rfam family "Bacterial small subunit ribosomal RNA", at positions 56 to 929 of the family's 1533-position model. The record is from RNAcentral.
UGCAGUCGAGUGCGCGCCUGUAGCAAUACAGGUGGCGCACGGCGCACGGGUGCGUAACACGUGGGUAAUCUGCCCUCUGAUGGGGAAUAACUCGCCGAAAGGCGAGCUAAUUCCGCAUAAUAUUCCGAAAAGUUCGCUUUUUGGACUGAAAGGCGUAAGUCGUCGGAGGAGGAGCCCGCGCACGAUUAGCUAGUUGGUAGGGUAAUGGCCUACCAAGGCUUUGAUCGUUAGCUGGUCUGAGAGGAUGGCCAGCCACACUGGAACUGAGACACGGUCCAGACUCCUACGGGAGGCAGCAGUGGGGAAUCUUGCACAAUGGGCGAAAGCCUGAUGCAGCGACGCCGCGUGGGGGAUGAAGCUUCUCGGAGUGUAAACCCCUUUCGAUCCGGACGAAUGCCUCGCAAGAGGAGUGACGGUACGGAUAUAAGAAGCCCCGGCUAACUACGUGCCAGCAGCCGCGGUAAUACGUAGGGGGCCAGCGUUGUUCGGAAUUACUGGGUGUAAAGGGUUCGUAGGCGGUGUGGCAAGUUGGGAGUGAAAUCUCUGGGCUCAACCCAGAGACGGCUUCCAAAACUGCCGUGCUUGAGUGUGAGAGAGGCUCGUGGAAUUGCAGGUGUAGCGGUGAAAUGCGUAGAUAUCUGCAGGAACACCCGUGGCGAAAGCGGCGAGCUGGAUCACUACUGACGCUGAAGAACGAAAGCUAGGGGAGCAAACAGGAUUAGAUACCCUGUAGUCCUAGCCCUAAACGAUCAGGACUUGGGGUGCCACCCGUUCGGGUGGCGUCCCGGAGCUAACGCGUUAAGUCCUGCACCUGGGGAGUACGGUCGCAAGACUGAAACUCAAAGGAAUGACGGGGGCCCGCACAGC